This 632-nucleotide ribosomal RNA is filed under the name uncultured beta proteobacterium. RNAcentral describes it as "bacterial SSU rRNA". It matches the Rfam family "Bacterial small subunit ribosomal RNA", at positions 264 to 891 of the family's 1533-position model. Lineage: Bacteria; Pseudomonadati; Pseudomonadota; Betaproteobacteria. The record is from RNAcentral.
UUUUCCCAGUCANCGMGUUGUAAAACGACGGCCAGUGAAUUCGAGCUCGGUACCUCGCGAAUGCAUCUAGAUUCCUACGGGAGGCAGCAGUGGGGAAUUUUGGACAAUGGGCGAAAGCCUGAUCCAGCCAUGCCGCGUGCAGGAUGAAGGCCUUCGGGUUGUAAACUGCUUUUGUACGGAACGAAAAGCCUCUUUCUAAUAAAGAGGGGUCAUGACGGUACCGUAAGAAUAAGCACCGGCUAACUACGUGCCAGCAGCCGCGGUAAUACGUAGGGUGCAAGCGUUAAUCGGAAUUACUGGGCGUAAAGCGUGCGCAGGCGGUUUUGUAAGACAGAGGUGAAAUCCCCGGGCUCAACCUGGGAACUGCCUUUGUGACUGCAAGGCUGGAGUGCGGCAGAGGGGGAUGGAAUUCCGCGUGUAGCAGUGAAAUGCGUAGAUAUGCGGAGGAACACCGAUGGCGAAGGCAAUCCCCUGGGCCUGCACUGACGCUCAUGCACGAAAGCGUGGGGAGCAAACAGGAUUAGAUACCCUGGUAGUCCACGCCCUAAACGAUGUCAACUGGUUGUUGGGUCUUCACUGACUCAGUAACGAAGCUAACGCGUGAAGUGACCGCCUGGGGAGUACGGCCGCAA